RNAcentral lists this transfer RNA (72 nucleotides) under bacterium. Its description in RNAcentral is "tRNA-Glu". It matches the Rfam family "tRNA". From Rfam's summary of the family: Transfer RNA (tRNA) molecules are approximately 80 nucleotides in length. Their secondary structure includes four short double-helical elements and three loops (D, anti-codon, and T loops). The record is from RNAcentral.
GGCCUCAUCGUCUAACAGUUAGGACGGAAGCUUCUCAAGCUUUAAAUCCGGGUGCGAUUCCCGGUGAGGUCA